RNAcentral lists this ribosomal RNA (1001 nucleotides) under Myxidium finnmarchicum. RNAcentral describes it as "SSU rRNA". It matches the Rfam family "Eukaryotic small subunit ribosomal RNA", at positions 79 to 1084 of the family's 1831-position model. Lineage: Eukaryota; Metazoa; Cnidaria; Myxozoa; Bivalvulida; Myxidiidae. The record is from RNAcentral.
AGAUGAAACUGCGAAGGGCUCAGUAAAUCAGUUAUCGUCCGUUCGAUCUUAAAAGCCAUGGAUAACUGUGGCAAAUCUAGAGCUAAUACAUGCAAAUACCAUGUGUGGGCAACCAUGCAUGGUGCAUUUAUUGGACGGAACCGACAGGAGUGGAAACGCUCUUGCAGGUGAAUCUAGAUAACUUUGCAUAUCGCACGGCUAGUCCGGCGAUAGUUCGAUCGAAUUUCUGCCCUAUCAACUCGUUGGUAAGGUAGUGGCCUACCAAGGUUGUGACGGGUAACGGGGAAUCAGGGUUCGAUUCCGGAGAGGGAGCCUGAGAAACGGCUACCACAUCUAAGGAAGGCAGCAGGCGCGCAAAUUACCCAAUCCAGACAUUGGGAGGUAGUGACGAGAAAUACCAAAGUGUACCUUUAACGGUUUCACUAUUGGAAUGAACGUAACAUAGUACCUUCGCUGAGUACCUACUGGAGGGCAAGUCUGGUGCCAGCAGCCGCGGUAAUUCCAGCUCCAGUAGUGUAUAUCAAAAUUGUUGCGGUUAAAACGCUCGUAGUUGGAUUACAAAAGUCYGGCGUCAGCCAAUCAUCUUGUUUGGUUGGCGUUGGGCUUUUUUAUCGCAAGAACCACUUGUGCGCUUAACCGUGUACGUGUGGCCACUUGCGGAGCGUGCCUUGAAUAAAGCACAGUGCUCAAAGCAAGCGUAACGCUUGAAUGUUAUAGCAUGGAACGAAUAAUUGACCCAACACCAUACCUUAAUUUGGUUGGUUCAGUUGGUUGGUUCUCUGAACCGGGUCCUGAUUAAAAGGGACAUUUGAGGGCGUUAGUACUUGGUGGCGAGAGGUGAAAUUCUUAGACCCACCAAAGACUCACUAAUGCGAAGGCAUUCGCCAAGAAUGUUUUCAUUGAUCAAGAACGAAAGUUAGAGGUUCGAAGACGAUCAGAUACCGUCCUAGUUCUAUACAGUAAACUAUGCUGCCACGGGAUCAGUCCGGAAAACGGUCCAG